RNAcentral lists this long non-coding RNA (551 nucleotides) under Helianthus annuus (common sunflower). Lineage: Eukaryota; Viridiplantae; Streptophyta; Magnoliopsida; Asterales; Asteraceae. The record is from RNAcentral.
UGUGUGCUCUUUGACAAGGAACCCGUACAAUCCAAGACUCGAUCAAGAUCUAAAGGUAAGCGUAGUUGUUUGGAGAGGAUGAUCCGCAAAUGCGGUAUAGGAUCGACACCAAGGCAUGUAAUAAGACUAAAUGAUCCCAGGUACGUAGACUCAAUAUGUGGGUACAUGUAUGAAAUCGUCGGGUUCAUGAGGAAUUGAAGCCGGACUUGGAUUAAGAGUAUUUAAGAGAAUGCUUGGAUAAUUCCAUGCUUACAUUAUGGAAUGCUAUGCGAAUUUCAAUUAUAUAGUAUAAUGUUGUAUAGUGAGAUAAUGACUAAUGGUUAAGUCGUAUAUGAUGUCCACAGGUAUCACACGGAUUUCCUCUACCACUAACGAAGAUAAGCGGGCGUAGAUCGAGUCAAAGAACAAGGAUUGUACGGAUAGGACGGCCACCUAGCUUGAAUUAUGUAACGCGCCUUGAAGUAUUAAUUUAAGUAUGAACGUUGUUAAUUCUUUCUAGUAAAAGUUUGCCAUUUUUGUAACUAAGCCUUUUCGUAAGUAAUGUCGUUAAU